CGCGGCUGAUGUCGGCGCCGCCGGGGCCGGGUCGCUCCCGCAGGCAUCGCUCGCCGCGGCCGCCCUUGUUCUCUCCCUGGGGGCGGAAGACCCAGCCCCGGCUUCCCGGCACCUCUGCGCCGUCACCAUCGAAUAAAGGAGCACAAGCAUCAGGCAGAUCUGGCCAAGCUAGAAGACAAAAGAGAAGGAGAACAAAUACAGAGAUUGAACCGAUUAUACCAACUGGAAAUUCAGAGAAGAAUGGAAAAGGAACAGGAGGAAAAAGCUGAACGCCAAAGGCUGUAUCAUCUCGUGUUCUCCUGCAGGCUAAUGUGGGAGCAUAAGCUUUUUAACAACUACCUGCACGGAUGAAUGAGGCGUGUAAGACUGAAGAUGAUCAUCUUGCUAGAGGAGCUGCAGAGAUAGAAGAUGAAUACCAAAUAAAAAACAAAGAGAAAGAGGCAAACAAACAAACAAACAAAAAAAGGCUGCCACUGAAUCUGUUGCUGAGCACAGAGCCACUGUGAUGAAGAUGAAAGUGGAAAAGGAGAGAGAGGAAAAAGCAGAGGGUAAAAAAGAACUUCAUGCGCUAAUGGAACAGAACCGCAUCUACCUGGAAAUGGAAAAAGCCAAGAAACAACGACAACGUGACACAAACAUGGAAAUACAGAAAAUUCAGAUCCAGCAAAUGGCUGAAAAGCAGGAAAAAAACAGCAGGAAAAGCAAGCAGAUUUGGACUAUGAUGCUCAGAGAGAAGCUGCUUUUUCUUUUUUCAGCAAGCAGAAAGAAACUUUUAAUGAAGCCUUUUGACUGCAGAAGCUGGAGCCCUGGGAAGUACUGACUACAGAAGUGGUGCUGAAAUCUGCAGAGCUUGAUAACGCUCCAGAUGCGCCCCUAAGUGCAUGUUUGCACAUGCUCACUACCAUGCAACUGAAAUACAUCUGACAACUACAGAAUAGCUACUAAGGAAUAAAAAGCUAGCCAAUGUCUCCUUACAAGUUAUAUUUGCCUGCAAAACCUGUCAGUGCCCAACAGAUGAAGCUAACUCUGGAGGAAGUUACAAGGCAUGCUAUUUGCCAGAACCUACCUAUACGCAACCUCAGCUCAAGAAACAAGUGCCACAGUUUGCAACUGUACCUGUAACUACUCUAAUUUUAUUAUGGAACAAAGCAGUAGAUUCACUUUCUAAGAAGUGAAGAGGUUACAAGCAAAGGUACACUAUCAAUCUGUACUGUACUCCUCAAGUAUUGCUGGGCCUCCCAGGCUCAAUUCAAACCGUAUGUUUUGGCUUAAAAAUAUUUAUUAAGCAAAUAAUAAAACUGAGUAAGCUGUUUAAAAACAUCUGCCUGCAACAGUAAGAUCAAUAUUGAGUGUACCUUUUAUUUGUGGCAGUUUUCUACUUCCUUUUACUUUGGAGAAUGCAAUGGAAGAUAGGAAUACUAUCUUGGGAAAGUUGUGGCACUGGCCAAGUCUUUAAUCCAUUAUGGGAAAGAAGUGCCUGCAGCAAGACUCUCUAUCUAGUACUCAUCUCCAGACUGACUGUAGGGAAUGGAAAAGCACUUUCUUGCGUUCUCCUACUCACUCUGCUGCCAGUACAGCCAGGCUGGGAUACUGGUGUAGGUGACUUUUUGAUCAAAACUUGUUCUUUCACUCUGUUCUAGACUGUAAGCCGUCCUACCGCUACAUUUAAAUUCAUGUCAUCAAACAGGUAGCUCUUCUGUAACGAGAAAAAACUAUUCUGCUUCACCUAACACAAAAAAAGCCCCGUUAUAUUUGUGCAAGUAGAAGAUCAAAGUUUGCAACUAGCAAAACAAAAAAAUCAGUGAUAAGAUACUAGAUUGGCUUCAUUACAUGGCUGCAUUUUUAUCUAUGUUAUAACAUAUAGAUAGUGAAUAGACUGUCAUUUGUCAUUCUACAGUAGAAACUCUUAAUUCCAUCUAUAAUGCAAGACUGUCAUCCACGGAAUAAAAAUCUGACUGUGCACAUUGAGUGAAAAUGCGUAGAUUUUGGUUUAACUGAAGAGGUAGUACUGGACAUCAA
This is a non-coding RNA of Phalacrocorax carbo (great cormorant), 2019 nucleotides long. The record is from RefSeq and is a predicted model, not a curated record. NCBI's taxonomy places the organism in Eukaryota, Metazoa, Chordata, Aves, Suliformes, Phalacrocoracidae.